Molecule: long non-coding RNA, 588 nt
Filed under: Ananas comosus (pineapple)
Lineage: Eukaryota; Viridiplantae; Streptophyta; Magnoliopsida; Poales; Bromeliaceae
Description: long non-coding RNA (ACOM_LNC012685)
Source: RNAcentral
AUAUUUAUAUAUAUAGAGAGAGAGAGAACUAGGCUAAUAUACUAUUAAUAGCACGAAAUAUUUGGUGCUUCCAAGUUUUUAGCCAUUGGAUUGAAAGAUGUGCGGUUAGGAUGAUGUGGGCCCCUAGGGUUGAGUGGGUGGUUGGUUGAAUAGUAUGAUCUAACGGGUGAAAAUGAUCAAAAUAGUAGAUCUAACGGCAGAAAACUUGGUAGCACCAAGUGUUUUGUGCUAUUAGUAGCAUAGUAGCCGGACUCUAUAUAUAUAUAUAUAUAUAUAUAUAUAUAUAUAUAAGGGUUGAGGGAGGGAAGAAGGAGGAAAAGGGUUAAGCUACAAGUAUAUAAUUAACGGCAUUGUUCUAACCAAUCAUGCCUGAAUGAAUGUAUACGGUGAAGAACUUGAGCUGGGCUUGAGCCACGUCCCCUAAAGAUAAUACUAUUUUUUUCUAUCUAGAUUACCCACCAUAUAGAUGAAAGAUUGGUCAGUUCAUUUAUUCGACUGCGCCUGUCAAUCUUGCUGCAACAUUUCUCCCAAAAUCCUGUUACACCGUACUUUAUUAUCACUACUACUUAUUAUUUUUCAGGUUAUUAC